AACGAACGCUGGCGGCAUGCCUAACACAUGCAAGUCGAACGAGACCUUCGGGUCUAGUGGCGCACGGGUGCGUAACGCGUGGGAACCUGCCCUUAGGUUCGGAAUAACUCCCCGAAAGGGGUGCUAAUACCGGAUAAUGUCUUCGGACCAAAGAUUUAUCGCCUUUGGAUGGGCCCGCGUUGGAUUAGCUAGUUGGUAGGGUAAAAGCCUACCAAGGGGACGAUCCAUAGCUGGUCUGAGAGGAUGAUCAGCCACACUGGGACUGAGACGCGGCCCAGACUCCUACGGGAGGCAGCAGUGGGGAAUAUUGGACAAUGGGCGAAGGGCUGAUCCAGCAAUGCCGCGUAAGUGAUGAAGGCCUUAGAGUUGUAAAGCUCUUUUAACCGGGAUGAUAAUGACAGUACCGGGAGAAUAAGCCCCGGCUAACUCCGUG
This 433-nucleotide ribosomal RNA is filed under the name uncultured bacterium. Its description in RNAcentral is "partial 16S ribosomal RNA". It matches the Rfam family "Bacterial small subunit ribosomal RNA", at positions 29 to 507 of the family's 1533-position model. The record is from RNAcentral.